Molecule: long non-coding RNA, 1047 nt
Filed under: Macaca nemestrina (pig-tailed macaque)
Lineage: Eukaryota; Metazoa; Chordata; Mammalia; Primates; Cercopithecidae
Description: lncRNA (ENSMNEG00000046048.1)
Source: RNAcentral
CGCCACAACACUAUGACAGCUAUGAUGUCACUAGGCAAUAGAAAUUUUCAGUUCCAUUAUAAUCUUGUGGGACCACUGUCAUAUAUGUGGUCCACUGUUGACUAAAACAUCAUUAUGCCACACAUGAAUGCAUUUAAAACAACCCUUCAAAGUAGGUAUUAAUGCCCAUAUAAUUCAAACAAAAAUACUUUAGAGAGCAAAGGGAGCCACUGACAUUAACACAAAGACAACCAGUGUAAACAGGGAUUGUCCUGGGCAAAGCAGGCUGUGUGGUCACCUGGUUCUGGUAUCUCCAGGUCAUGGACAAGAUCCCCACGGCAUGGAGAGUAUAAGUGAUCCACAUACUGAGAAGAAGCAGAGCUAUUCAAUCACAGGGAUGUCUGGCUCUAAAACUCACCUUUCUCUACACACCACGCUGCCUUUCUCUGUGCCUGCGUUCUUGUGUUCACUGCCUGGACAGGGGUUAGGGGUUUUCAUAGCCUUGGUAAGUAUGCAGCAAAUCCUAAAUGGAACCUCAGCACGUAAAACAAAUAAAAACAGAGCCAUUUUGGUUGAACUAGGCAAAUGGAUCUUGCAUUCUAUCUGUCCUCCCUCUAGCCUCCACUUUUACCUCCUGGGUGAAAAAGCCCUGGCUUGGCACUGGUUCCACAGGGAACACCAGAGUCAGCCACUUGUCCAGAGGUGGAGACAAGCCAAAUGGAAGGUAUCUGCAGGACGCAGGGAGGAUGGUGAUUGCUACAGGGUGAGAAACACAGUCGAGUUUGAAAGGUUUCCCUGUUUGAUUCUCUGCCACUCUUCCGUCCAUUUCCACCUGCAGAAUACCUGCCAGACUCUCGUGGAAUGCUUCGAACCUAUCUUCAGAUGGAGUGCUAGUGGCACCUGGGAGAAGUGGGUUAAUGAAGCGUUUGCUCAAACAUUAGUCUCUCUGCCACUGGAUAUUUUAGCUGAAAAAUAUUUUAUUGGAACUUUCCAACAAAAUCCUCCUGGAUAUAUUGAAAUAUUACAGCUCUUCAGCAGGAUCUGGACCUAUCAACUCCGUGACUACCC